Molecule: ribosomal RNA, 492 nt
Filed under: uncultured bacterium
Lineage: Bacteria
Description: partial 16S ribosomal RNA
Rfam family: Bacterial small subunit ribosomal RNA
Source: RNAcentral
GAUGAACGCUAGCUACAGGCUUAACACAUGCCAGUCGAGGGGAAACGGCAUUGAGUGCUUGCACUCUUUGGACGUCGACCGGCGCACGGGUGAGUAACGCGUAUCCAACCUUCCCAUUACUGUGGGAUAACCUGCCGAAAGGCAGACUAAUACCGCAUAGUCUUCGAUGACGGCAUCAGAUUUGAAGUAAAGAUUUAUCGGUAAUGGAUGGGGAUGCGUCUGAUUAGCUUGUUGGCGGGGUAACGGCCCACCAAGGCUACGAUCAGUAGGGGUUCUGAGAGGAAGGUCCCCCACAUUGGAACUGAGACACGGUCCAAACUCCUACGGGAGGCAGCAGUGAGGAAUAUUGGUCAAUGGACGGAAGUCUGAACCAGCCAAGUAGCGUGCAGGAUGACGGCCCUAUGGGUUGUAAACUGCUUUUGUAUGGGGAUAAAGUUAGGGACGGGUCCCUAUUUGCAGGUACCAUACGAAUAAGGACCGGCUAAUUCCGUG